Molecule: microRNA, 21 nt
Filed under: Homo sapiens (human)
Lineage: Eukaryota; Metazoa; Chordata; Mammalia; Primates; Hominidae
Description: Hsa-Mir-3138_3p (mature (guide))
Source: RNAcentral
ACAGUGAGGUAGAGGGAGUGC